GGGGGGAAGAUCAACUGGGAACGAUCGGCUCUGGAAAGUGGAAAUUGGAGAGAUCGAAUCUCUCAUUCUCCCCG
Molecule: transfer RNA, 74 nt
Filed under: Chlamydiia bacterium
Lineage: Bacteria; Pseudomonadati; Chlamydiota; Chlamydiia
Description: tRNA-Phe
Source: RNAcentral